This 614-nucleotide ribosomal RNA is filed under the name Ramaria araiospora var. araiospora. Its description in RNAcentral is "eukaryotic LSU rRNA". It matches the Rfam family "Eukaryotic large subunit ribosomal RNA", at positions 65 to 657 of the family's 3401-position model. RNAcentral also lists the same sequence under 1 other name. The record is from RNAcentral. Lineage: Eukaryota; Fungi; Basidiomycota; Agaricomycetes; Gomphales; Gomphaceae.
CUAACAAGGAUUCCCCUAGUAACGGCGAGUGAAGCGGGAAGAGCUCAAAUUUGUAAUCUGGCGGUCUAUGGCCGUCCGAGUUGUAGUCUGGAGAAGCGUUUUCUGCGUCGGACCGUGUACAAGUCCCUUGGAACAGGGCGUCACAGAGGGUGAGAAUCCCGUCUUUGACACGGACUGCCGGCGCUUUGUGAUGCGCUCUCGAAGAGUCGAGUUGUUUGGGAAUGCAGCUCAAAACGGGUGGUAAAUUCCAUCUAAAGCUAAAUAUUGGCGAAAGACCGAUAGCGAACAAGUACCGUGAGGGAAAGAUGAAAAGCACUUUGGAAAGAGAGUUAAACAGUACGUGAAAUUGUUGAAAGGGAAACGCUUGAAGUCAGUCGCGUCUUCCGGGACUCAGCCUUGCGUUUCUCGCCUGGCGUACUUCCCGGGACGACGGGCCAGCAUCGGUUUCGACCGUCGGAAAAAGGCUUUGGGAAUGUGGCACCUUCGGGUGUGUUAUAGCCCUCGGUCGUAUACGACGGUUGGGAUCGAGGACCGCAGCACGCCUUUAUGGUCGGGGUUCGCCCACGUAACGUGCUUAGGAUGCUGGCGUAAUGGCUUUAAGCGACCCGUCUUGA